This 481-nucleotide ribosomal RNA is filed under the name uncultured bacterium. RNAcentral describes it as "bacterial SSU rRNA". It matches the Rfam family "Bacterial small subunit ribosomal RNA", at positions 38 to 506 of the family's 1533-position model. The record is from RNAcentral.
GGCGGCAUGCUUUACACAUGCAAGUCGAACGGCAGCAUGGUCUAGGUAACUAGGCUGAUGGCGAGUGGCGAACGGGUGAGUAGAGCAUCGGAACGUACCGUGUAGAGGGGGAUAACUGUCCGAAAGGAUAGCUAAUACCGCAUACGCCCUAAGGGGGAAAGCAGGGGACUGUGAUAGGCCUUGCGUUAUACGAUCGGCCGAUGCCCGAUUAGCUAGUUGGUGAGGUAAAGGCUCACCAAGGCGACGAUCGGUAGCGGGUCUGAGAGGACGAUCCGCCACACUGGAACUGAGACACGGUCCAGACUCCUACGGGAGGCAGCAGUGGGGAAUUUUGGACAAUGGGCGGAAGCCUGAUCCAGCAAUGCCGCGUGAGUGAAGAAGGCCCUUGGGUUGUAAAGCUCUUUCGGUCGGGAAGAAGGAAUGGUGGCUAAUAUCCAUCAUGACAGACGGUACCGGCAUAAGAAGCACCGGCUAACUACGU